Molecule: unclassified non-coding RNA, 404 nt
Filed under: soil metagenome
Description: partial contains 5.8S ribosomal RNA, internal transcribed spacer 2, and large subunit ribosomal RNA
Rfam family: 5.8S ribosomal RNA (bases 1-121)
Source: RNAcentral
GAUGAAGAACGUAGCGAAAUGCGAUAAGUAAUGUGAAUUGCAGAAUUCAGUGAAUCAUCGAAUCUUUGAACGCACCUUGCGCCCUUUGGCCAUUCCGAAGGGCAUGCCUGUUUGAGUAUCAUGAACACCUCAACUCCUCAUGGUCUUCUAUGAUGAGCUUGGACUUUUGGGGCUUGCUGGCCCAUUUGGUCAGCUCCUCUCAAAUGAAUCAGCCUACCAGUGUUUGGUGGCACCACAGGUGUGAUAACAAUCUACGCUUGAGGUUUUCCACCAGGCAACCUUCAGUAAUUGGGGUUCACUGGGGCUCACAAAUGUCUUUCUUCAGUGAGGACAGCUCUUUGAAUGUUUGAUCUCAAAUCAGGUAGGACUACCCGCUGAACUUAAGCAUAUCAAUAAGCGGAGGA